RNAcentral lists this long non-coding RNA (1056 nucleotides) under Homo sapiens (human). RNAcentral's name for it is "non-protein coding AFDN-DT:17". Lineage: Eukaryota; Metazoa; Chordata; Mammalia; Primates; Hominidae. The record is from RNAcentral.
AGGUGCUGCUGCCGCGGCCGCCAGGGAGGGAGGUGUCGGAGGGCGGGCCCCGCGCGGUGCUAGGGUUCCGUCUGGACUGGCGGUGGUGGGUCCCAACCGGCGGUACCGGGUUCCUUCCCGACCAGCGGUGCUAGGUUCGGUUCGGACGCGCGCUGCUGGAUCUAAAUGGGCAGUGCUGGGUCCGAUGGGUGGUGCUGUGUUGGGUCCGGACGCGCGGUGCAGAGUCCGGACGGGCGGUGCUGGAUCCAAAUGGGCGGUGCUGGAUCUGGACGGGCGGUGAUGGGUCCGAUGGGCGGUGCUAUGUUCGGUUCGGACGGGCGGUGCUAGGUCUAAAUGGGCGCUGCUGGGUCCGAUGGGCGGUGCUGCGUUCGGUCCGGACGGGCGGGGACGGGCGGUGCUGGGUCCAAACGGGCGGUGCUGGGUCCAGACGGGCGGUGGGUCCGAUGGGCGGUGCUAGGUUCGGUUCGGAUGGGUGGUGCUAGGUCUAAAUGGGCGGCGCCGGAUCCGAUGGGCGGUGCUGGGUUCGGUCCGGACUGGCGGGUCCGGGUCUGGACGGGCGGUGCUGGAUCCAAAUGGGGGUGCAGUGCUGGAUCUGGACGGGCGGUGCUGGGUCCGAACGGGCGAUGGGUCCCAUGGGCGGUGCUAGGUUCGGUUCGGACUGGCGGUGCUGGGUCUAAAUGGGCGGCGCUGGGUCCGAUGGGUGGUACUGGGUCCGGACGGGCGGUUCUGGGUCUGGACGGGCGGUGCAGUAUCCAAAUGGGCGCUGCUGGGUCCGGACGGGCGGUGCUAGGUUCGGUCCGGACGGGUGGUGCUGGGUCUAAAUGGGCGGUGCUAGGCUCAGCAGGGGACCGGUGGGCGUGGCGGCACAGGUACGGAGCGCAGGGCCGGUGGAGCGCCCUCUCCGAAGGGCCCUGCGCUCCCCGCGCUCGCUGCUCCUCCUGCCCGCGCAUUGCCCCGGGGCUGCUGCGUGUUUCUUCCAGGGUGAUUCCUUUCCGCUGGGUCACUUCAAAGCCGACCUUUUCAAGCUGUUUUCUUCCGCGGAGGACACGUUGUUAG